Molecule: ribosomal RNA, 599 nt
Filed under: Triticum aestivum (bread wheat)
Lineage: Eukaryota; Viridiplantae; Streptophyta; Magnoliopsida; Poales; Poaceae
Description: partial small subunit ribosomal RNA
Source: RNAcentral
CCUAGCCCCUUUUCCUCCCCCUCCUCGUGUCGUUGCUCUCUCCCCCACACCCACCCGACGCCACCAUCGUCGCGUUGAUCCCGCGGCCACCGACCUCCCUUUGUCGCACCAAGAUGUCCAGAAGCAUCCUCAUCAUCGUCUCCUUCGUCCUCGACCAGUGAAUCAAGUCGGGAAGGCCCGCACGCUCGCCAUCGAGCUCGUCAUCGCUACGUACAUCAUCGUCGCCGCCGUCGAUUACCGCCACUUUAACCAUCCACGGCCCCACCGACCACUGCGCCGUGACCGCUAUGACGGAGCCACUGAGUCCGCUGCCCCCGCCGAUGAAUACUACUACCCCGAGGGUGCCUACUACUAUGUGACGGACACCGACGACCAGGAGUAGUUAGGAGGCUCCCAGGCAAGAGGCCUUGCCUUUUCGAUCGAUGUUGCUUUUGUGCUAGCCUUCUUAAGCCAAACUUGUUUAACUCAUGUCUGUACUCAAAUAAUGUUGCUUCUGCUGACUCGUUUGUAUUCGAGCUUAUGUAUUCGAGCCCUCGAGGCCCCUGGCUUGUAAUAUAAAGCUUGUAUUAUUUUAAUUUGUGUCUAGAGUUGUGUUGUGA